GAUGAACGCUGGCGGCGUGCUUAACACAUGCAAGUCGAACGGAGAUGUGAUGUGAGCGGGAAAUGCUGCACAGAACAAUCUUUUCACAUCUUAGUGGCGGACGGGUGAGUAACGCGUGGGCAACCUGCCUUAUACUGGGGGAUAACACUUAGAAAUAGGUGCUAAUACCGCAUAAGCGCACAGUGUCGCAUGACACAGUGUGAAAAACUCCGGUGGUAUAAGAUGGACCCGCGUCUGAUUAGCUAGUUGGUGGGUAACGGCCUACCAAGGCGACGAUCAGUAGCCGAACUGAGAGGUUGAUCGGCCACAUUGGGACUGAGACACGGCCCAGACUCCUACGGGAGGCAGCAGUGGGGAAUAUUGCGCAAUGGGGGAAACCCUGACGCAGCAACGCCGCGUGAAGGAUGAAGGUCUUCGGAUUGUAAACUUCUGUCUUAUGGGAAGAAGAAAGUGACGGUACCAUAGGAGGAAGCCAACGGC
This 480-nucleotide ribosomal RNA is filed under the name uncultured bacterium. RNAcentral describes it as "bacterial SSU rRNA". It matches the Rfam family "Bacterial small subunit ribosomal RNA", at positions 28 to 497 of the family's 1533-position model. The record is from RNAcentral.